GUGAAUCAUCAAAUUUUUGAACGCAAAUUGCACUCUCCGGUUUUCCGGGAGAGUAUGCCUGUUUGAGGGUCUGUUUAAAAAAUAAUCGAGGCUGCUGCUGUGGUGGCUCUUCGGAAUUGGGUCAUCUUAAAUCCUUUUGGUUUUAAGCGACUUAAAAUUUUCUUUUUGGUUCCAUGAACGUUUCUAAGAUAUAUUUCUUUACACGUUUAAGGGUAUCGAUUUUUAUUAGACGUGACCAUCAUAUCGGAUCGCGUCCAUAAUCUUUCAUUAACUGACCUCAGACAGGUAAGAGUACCCG
This 298-nucleotide unclassified non-coding RNA is filed under the name Glomus sp. RNAcentral describes it as "partial contains 5.8S ribosomal RNA and internal transcribed spacer 2". The stretch from base 1 to 72 matches the Rfam family "5.8S ribosomal RNA", at positions 84 to 154 of the family's 154-position model. Lineage: Eukaryota; Fungi; Glomeromycota; Glomeromycetes; Glomerales; Glomeraceae. The record is from RNAcentral.